UACAAACACUCUGGAGAGAUCGGCCACCGCGCAAGCGGGCGCGCCGGCGCCGAAGGGGCACGAAGCAGGCGACCUCGUCCGCCGCUUCCAAACUCUCAGGCAAAAGGACAGAGGGGCGCCC
Molecule: non-coding RNA, 121 nt
Filed under: Pseudoxanthomonas indica
Lineage: Bacteria; Pseudomonadati; Pseudomonadota; Gammaproteobacteria; Lysobacterales; Lysobacteraceae
Description: Glycine sequence
Rfam family: Glycine riboswitch aptamer
About the family: This family represents the bacterial glycine riboswitch. Glycine riboswitches usually consist of two metabolite-binding aptamers domains with similar structures in tandem.
Source: Rfam by way of RNAcentral